RNAcentral lists this ribosomal RNA (536 nucleotides) under uncultured Pseudomonadota bacterium. Its description in RNAcentral is "bacterial SSU rRNA". It matches the Rfam family "Bacterial small subunit ribosomal RNA", at positions 517 to 1050 of the family's 1533-position model. Lineage: Bacteria; Pseudomonadati; Pseudomonadota. The record is from RNAcentral.
GCGGUAAUACGGAGGGGGCUAGCGUUGCUCGGAAUUACUGGGCGUAAAGCGCGCGUAGGCGGCGCACCAAGUGAGGCGUGAAAUCCCCGGGCUUAACCGGGAACUGCGUUUCAUACUGGUGUGCUAGAAUCCGAGAGAGGGUAGUGGAAUUCCCAGUGUAGAGGUGAAAUUCGUAGAUAUUGGGAAGAACACCAGUGGCGAAGGCGGCUACCUGGCUCGGUAUUGACGCUGAGGUGCGAAAGCGUGGGGAGCGAACAGGAUUAGAUACCCUGGUAGUCCACGCCGUAAACGAUGGGCACUAAGCGUCCGACGGGUUCGACCCUGUUGGGUGCUGCAGUUAACGCAUUAAGUGCCCCGCCUGGGGAGUACGGUCGCAAGACUAAAACUCAAAGGAAUUGACGGGGGCCCGCACAAGCGGUGGAACAUGUGGUUUAAUUCGACGCAACGCGAAGAACCUUACCUGGGUUUGACAUCCCCGGCCGACACCAGAGAUGGUGUUUUCUCUUCGGAGACCGGGUGACAGGUGCUGCAUGGCU